UAGGGAAUCUUCCGCAAUGGACGCAAGUCUGACGGAGCAACGCCGCGUGAGUGAAGAAGGAUUUCGGUUCGUAAAACUCUGUUGUUAGAGAAGAACAGCGCAUAGAGUAACUGUUAUGCGUGUGACGGUAUCUAACCAGAAAGCCACGGCUAACUGCGUGCCAGCAGCCGCGGUAAUACGUAGGUGGCAAGCGUUGUCCGGAUUUAUUGGGCGUAAAGCGAGCGCAGGCGGUCAAUUAAGUCUGAUGUGAAAGCCCCCGGCUCAACCGGGGAGGGUCAUUGGAAACUGGUUGACUUGAGUGCAGAAGAGGAGGGUGGAAUUCCAUGUGUAGCGGUGAAAUGCGUAGAUAUAUGGAGGCACACCAGUGGCGAAGGCGAAUCUCUGGUCUGUAACUGACGCUGAGGCUCGAAAGCGUGGGUAGCAAACAGG
RNAcentral lists this ribosomal RNA (429 nucleotides) under Bacteroidota bacterium. RNAcentral describes it as "Bacteroidetes bacterium partial 16S ribosomal RNA". It matches the Rfam family "Bacterial small subunit ribosomal RNA", at positions 355 to 776 of the family's 1533-position model. The record is from RNAcentral. Lineage: Bacteria; Pseudomonadati; Bacteroidota.